RNAcentral lists this non-coding RNA (132 nucleotides) under uncultured Acidovorax sp. The record is from RNAcentral. Lineage: Bacteria; Pseudomonadati; Pseudomonadota; Betaproteobacteria; Burkholderiales; Comamonadaceae.
CUCUUGUACGACCAUGAGUAGCCUAGAGUGGCAUGCGGGGACGGUAACGUCUCCGUGUGAAGCCCGCUCGACAAUGCGUUCCCGUAACACGGCUGGAGUCCCCUGCGAGGGGGGCAUCAGGACUAUCGCCAG